RNAcentral lists this ribosomal RNA (253 nucleotides) under uncultured bacterium. RNAcentral's name for it is "partial 16S ribosomal RNA". It matches the Rfam family "Bacterial small subunit ribosomal RNA", at positions 524 to 776 of the family's 1533-position model. The record is from RNAcentral.
UACAGAGGGUGCGAGCGUUGUCCGGAAUCACUGGGCGUAAAGGGCGCGUAGGUGGCGACCCAAGUCGAUGGUGAAAGCUCGCCGCUCAACGGCGAGUCGGCCACCGAUACUGGGUUGCUGGAGCACUGUAGAGGCAGAUGGAAUUCCGGGUGUAGCGGUGGAAUGCGUAGAGAUGUGGAGGAAUACCGAUGGCGAAGGCAGCCCCCUGGGCCAACACUGACGCUCAUGCACGAAAGCGUGGGGAGCAAACAGG